RNAcentral lists this ribosomal RNA (301 nucleotides) under uncultured bacterium. RNAcentral's name for it is "partial 16S ribosomal RNA". It matches the Rfam family "Bacterial small subunit ribosomal RNA", at positions 509 to 809 of the family's 1533-position model. The record is from RNAcentral.
CAGCCGCCGCGGUAAAACGGAGGGGGCUAGCGUUGUUCGGAAUUACUGGGCGUAAAGCGCACGUAGGCGGUUUGGCAAGUUUGGUGUGAAAUCUUCGGGCUCAACUCGAAGUCUGCAUCGAAAACUGCCGGGCUUGAGUAUGGGAGAGGUGAGUGGAAUUUCCGGUGUAGCGGUGAAAUGCGUAGAUAUCGGAAGGAACACCUGAGGCGAAAGCGGCUCACUGGACCAUUACUGACGCUGAGGCGCGAAAGCUAGGGGAGCAAACAGGAUUAGAGACCCCUGUAGUCCCUGUCUCUUAUAU